GAUGAACGCUGGCGGCGUGCCUAAUACAUGCAAGUCGAGCGAACGGACGAGAAGCUUGCUUAUCUGAUGUUAGCGGCGGACGGGAGAGUAACACGUGGAUAACCUACCUAUAAGACUGGGAUAACUUCGGGAAACCGGAGCUAAUACCGGAUAAUAUUUUGAACCGCAUGGUUCAAAAGUGAAAGACGGUCUUGCUGUCACUUAUAGAUGGAUCCGCGCUGCAUUAGCUAGUUGGUAAGGUAACGGCUUACCAAGGCAACGAUGCAUAGCCGACCUGAGAGGGUGAUCGGCCACACUGGAACUGAGACACGGUCCAGACUCCUACGGGAGGCAGCAGUAGGGAAUCUUCCGCAAUGGGCGAAAGCCUGACGGAGCAACGCCGCGUGAGUGAUGAAGGUCUUCGGAUCGUAAAACUCUGUUAUUAGGGAAGAACAUAUGUGUAAGUAACUGUGCACAUCUUGACGGUACCUAAUCAGAAAGCCACGGCUAACUACGUG
This 497-nucleotide ribosomal RNA is filed under the name uncultured bacterium. RNAcentral describes it as "partial 16S ribosomal RNA". It matches the Rfam family "Bacterial small subunit ribosomal RNA", at positions 28 to 507 of the family's 1533-position model. The record is from RNAcentral.